This 492-nucleotide ribosomal RNA is filed under the name uncultured bacterium. RNAcentral's name for it is "partial 16S ribosomal RNA". It matches the Rfam family "Bacterial small subunit ribosomal RNA", at positions 29 to 507 of the family's 1533-position model. The record is from RNAcentral.
AGUGAACGCUGGCGGUAGGCCUAACACAUGCAAGUCGAGCGGCAGCACAGUAAGAGCUUGCUCUUACGGGUGGCGAGUGGCGGACGGGUGAGGAAUACAUCGGAAUCUACUUUUUCGUGGGGGAUAACGUAGGGAAACUUACGCUAAUACCGCAUACGACCUACGGGUGAAAGCAGGGGAUCUUCGGACCUUGCGCGAUUGAAUGAGCCGAUGUCGGAUUAGCUAGUUGGCGGGGUAAAGGCCCACCAAGGCGACGAUCCGUAGCUGAUCUGAGAGGAUGAUCAGCCACACUGGAACUGAGACACGGUCCAGACUCCUACGGGAGGCAGCAGUGGGGAAUAUUGGACAAUGGGCGCAAGCCUGAUCCAGCCAUACCGCGUGGGUGAAGAAGGCCUUCGGGUUGUAAAGCCCUUUUGUUGGGAAAGAAAAGCAGCAGGUUAAUACCCCGCUGUUCUGACGGUACCCAAAGAAUAAGCACCGGCUAACUUCGUG